UUAGUUGAAGCCAAAAUAGAGGCGUAUUACUGUUAAUGAUAAAAAUGAAAUAAUAAUUUCCAGCUAAA
RNAcentral lists this transfer RNA (68 nucleotides) under Libellula angelina. Its description in RNAcentral is "tRNA-Asn". Lineage: Eukaryota; Metazoa; Arthropoda; Insecta; Odonata; Libellulidae. The record is from RNAcentral.